RNAcentral lists this ribosomal RNA (253 nucleotides) under uncultured bacterium. Its description in RNAcentral is "partial 16S ribosomal RNA". It matches the Rfam family "Bacterial small subunit ribosomal RNA", at positions 524 to 776 of the family's 1533-position model. The record is from RNAcentral.
UACGUAGGGUGCAAGCGUUGUCCGGAAUUAUUGGGCGUAAAGAGCUCGUAGGCGGUCUGUCGCGUCUGCUGUGAAAACUCAGGGCUUAACCCUGAGCUUGCAGUGGGUACGGGCAGACUAGAGUGCGGUAGGGGAGACUGGAAUUCCUGGUGUAGCGGUGAAAUGCGCAGAUAUCAGGAGGAACACCGGUGGCGAAGGCGGGUCUCUGGGCCGUAACUGACGCUAAGGAGCGAAAGCAUGGGGAGCGAACAGG